This 180-nucleotide ribosomal RNA is filed under the name uncultured bacterium. RNAcentral describes it as "partial 16S ribosomal RNA". It matches the Rfam family "Bacterial small subunit ribosomal RNA", at positions 338 to 514 of the family's 1533-position model. The record is from RNAcentral.
CCUACGGGAGGCAGCAGUGAGGAAUAUUGGUCAAUGGGCGAGAGCCUGAACCAGCCCAAGUAGCGUGCAGGAUGACGGCCCUAUGGGUUGUAAACUGCUUUUAUAAGGGAAUAAAGUGAGUCUCGUGAGGCUUUUUGCAUGUACCUUAUGAAUAAGGACCGGCUAAUUCCGUGCCAGCAG